Melopsittacus undulatus (budgerigar) is the source of this 337-nucleotide long non-coding RNA. RefSeq lists it as uncharacterized. The record is from RefSeq and is a predicted model, not a curated record. NCBI's taxonomy places the organism in Eukaryota, Metazoa, Chordata, Aves, Psittaciformes, Psittaculidae. The transcript has 3 exons.
UUAAUCCUGUGCUAAUGGCUUUAUUGCAGGGCACUGAGGUGGAAUAAGGCAUCCUCCUGCAAAUGCCUGGGCUGCUGUGCCUGAUGCCCUGCUGCAUAAUGCAGCCACCCAGGACCAGAAUCACCUGGAAACUCGGAAACAUGGCAGUAUCUCCAGUUAGAGAUGACUAUGAUUUUUGGAAGACUCUCUUCAAGCGAAGUAUCUCUCCCAGCUUCCAAAAUGCAGAGCAUCACUGCUCCAAGGAAAGCUGGGCAGAUGAGGAGUGCUGGUCCCAUGUCAUGCCAAGAUCACUCAAGCAGUUUGUCAAGCCCCACCGUAACAGGCUAGCAAAACAUGU